This 655-nucleotide ribosomal RNA is filed under the name bacterium A331. Its description in RNAcentral is "bacterial SSU rRNA". It matches the Rfam family "Bacterial small subunit ribosomal RNA", at positions 94 to 745 of the family's 1533-position model. The record is from RNAcentral.
AGCGGCGGACGGGUGAGUAAUGCUUGGGAAUAUGCCUUAUGGUGGGGGACAACAGUUGGAAACGACUGCUAAUACCGCAUGAUGUCUACGGACCAAAGUGGGGGACCUUCGGGCCUCACGCCAUAAGAUUAGCCCAAGUGGGAUUAGCUAGUUGGUGAGGUAAUGGCUCACCAAGGCGACGAUCCCUAGCUGGUUUGAGAGGAUGAUCAGCCACACUGGGACUGAGACACGGCCCACACUCCUACGGGAGGCAGCAGUGGGGAAUAUUGCACAAUGGGCGCAAGCCUGAUGCAGCCAUGCCGCGUGUGUGAAGAAAGCCUUCGGGUUGUAAAGCACUUUCAGUAAAGAGGAAAGGUUAAUCGCUAAUAUCAGAUAGCUGUGACGUUACUUACAGAAGAAGCACCGGCUAACUCCGUGCCAGCAGCCGCGGUAAUACUGAGGGUGCGAGCGUUAAUCGGAAUUACUGGGCGUAAAGCGUACGCACGCGGUUUGUUAAUCGAGAUGUGAAAGCCCCGGGCUCAACCUGGGAACUGCAUUUCGAACUGGCAAACUAGAGUGUGAUAGAGGGUGGUAGAAUUUCAGGUGUAGCGGUGAAAUGCGUAGAGAUCUGAAGGAAUACCGAUGGCGAAGGCAGCCACCUGGGUCAACACUGACG